GAAUUCAACUCCUACGGGAGGCAGCAGUGGGGAAUAUUGGACAAUGGGCGAAAGCCUGAUCCAGCAAUGCCGCGUGGGUGAUGAAGGCCUUAGGGUUGUAAAGCUCUUUUACCAGGGAGGAUAAUGACAGUACCUGGAGAAUAAGCUCCGGCUAACUCCGUGCCAGCAGCCGCGGUAAUACGGAGGGGGCUAGCGUUGUUCGGAAUUACUGGGCGUAAAGCGCACGUAGGCGGCGAUUCAAGUCAGAGGUGAAAGCCCGGGGCUCAACCCCGGAACUGCCUUUGAAACUAGAUUGCUAGAAUCCUGGAGAGGUGAGUGGAAUUCCGAGUGUAGAGGUGAAAUUCGUAGAUAUUCGGAAGAACACCAGUGGCGAAGGCGACUCACUGGACAGGUAUUGACGCCGAGGUGCGAAAGCGUGGGGAGCAAACAGGAUUAGAAACCCUAGUAGUCCAGGCGUU
Molecule: ribosomal RNA, 458 nt
Filed under: uncultured bacterium
Lineage: Bacteria
Description: bacterial SSU rRNA
Rfam family: Bacterial small subunit ribosomal RNA
Source: RNAcentral